GAUGAACGCUCGCUACAGGCUUAACACAUGCAAGUCGAGGGGAAACGCUGAGAGAGCUUGCUCUCUUAGGCGUCGACCGGCGCACGGGUGAGUAACGCGUAUCCAACCUACCCAUUACAGGGGGAUAACCUUGCGAAAGUAAGACUAAUACCCCAUGGCAUUUUAUGGUGGCAUCAUUAUAGGAUUAAAGAUUUAUUGGUAAUGGAUGGGGAUGCGUCUGAUUAGCUUGUUGGCGGGGUAACGGCCCACCAAGGCAACGAUCAGUAGGGGUUCUGAGAGGAAGGUCCCCCACAUUGGAACUGAGACACGGUCCAAACUCCUACGGGAGGCAGCAGUGAGGAAUAUUGGGCAAUGGGCGAGAGCUUGAACCAGCCAAGUAGCGUGCAGGAUGACGGCCCUAUGGGUUGUAAACUGCUUUUAUAGGGGAAUAAAGUGAGCUACGUGUAGUUUAUUGCAUGUACCCGAUGAAUAAGGACCGGCUAAUUCCGUG
This 490-nucleotide ribosomal RNA is filed under the name uncultured bacterium. Its description in RNAcentral is "partial 16S ribosomal RNA". It matches the Rfam family "Bacterial small subunit ribosomal RNA", at positions 28 to 507 of the family's 1533-position model. The record is from RNAcentral.